CUUUCUUUGACUUGGCUCUUUGGCAAUAAUUAUGCAUUACUUAUGUAAGUUUUCCACACGGUACCUAGCUCAGAGGCAGUCAUCUUGAUCUACAAAAGGAAGACGUGAGCAAUUCAGUGAUCAUUCUUUUCCAGCCUACAUACCCUACCAGAGUUGGUUGAUUGUUUCACCUAUCACCAGUGUAUCACGUUGAAAAGUCUUUGAUCCAUUUGGUACCACGUACAGUCGGUCAAGAUGCCUUUUGGAGGAGGAGAAAAAAAAUGCCCAAGAUGUGGCAAAUCCGUCUAUAUGGCGGAAGAGAAGAUAGGUGCAGGGCAGUCCUGGCACAAAUCGUGUUUCUCGUGCGAAUCUUGCAGUAAGCACCUGGAUUCCACCACCGUGUCCGAUAAAGAGGGGAAAAUCUACUGUAAAGCGUGCUACGGGACGCUCUUCGGGCCGAAAUGAUACGGAUAUGACGGAGGUGCCGGUGCUCUUACAAACAAAGACUAGAUAAAUAUCUUGGUAUUACUAAGGUUAAAAAUUGGAAUUACAAUGAAAUGUGACCGGGGGGGGGGGGGUUCACGAAAGUACUUGUUAGACGUUUUAUCCGCCAAGUCUCACUUUAUCCGACAGUUACCAUAUUAACAGUGCCUCUCAGCCAAUCGAAAUCAUGGAAAGUUGUCAGAUCUUAGUGACAACUUGUGGACGAAACAUUGAUGAAACGCUUCUCCGGUGCCCAGUUGCAGUAACGAUUGUGUUUAAACGCAACUCAAAAUAUCAAGCACAACCCCCAAAUGCGCUACUUUAAUUGGUCGAAAACUAAGUUGCAUAAAAAUUAUAUAUAUAUUUUUUUGUUUUCAGAGUUAUGUUUGAUUGCGACUGUUUCUGCAACUUGGACCUGGGGGGUUUUCACAAAGUGUAACUUAAGCCCAGCGCACACUAUGCGAUUCGGUGUGACGCGACUUUUUCUUUCAAUAAAUCAGAUUUCGAAAGAAGUGUUACGUUUCCAUGAAGCAAAGUUAGUUUUAUUGGAAGUUCGGCAUUAUGUUAGGAAUAAUAAAAUCAUAAGGAAUUUGGUUUGGCUCAAGUAUACCAGAUUUACGUAAAAUGUACAAUACACAAGUAUUUGAAUUAUAAGUCCAAGUGCAUUAAAACUUGUAUACUUGCCUUUAGCAUUGAACAGAAUUUAGUAAAGUAUCUGUUUGUAGUAUGUCAACUUAAUGAGUAAUUUUACUUCUUGUUGUGUUUCAAUUAGUUCAUCUACUUAUAACCCAAAAGAAGGUAAUGUUCUUUUGAAUAGACGAUACAACUUUUUAUAAAUCAUUUUCUCAUAAGUAUUAUUUCUAUGAAUACAUUCCUGUUUGUUAUUUGGCACCAUGCACAAUAAUUGAAAAGGCAUUCUUGUUGAAGCAUUUAAAAACAGAGAAUUUUAUUAAUGAAUUAUAUGAAGCUAUAUUGUAGAAAUAUUAUAUGAACUUCGAUUUAAGUCCUGUAAACAGUGUAUUUAAUGAACUAUGUUGAUGUUAUGAAUGUAAUUUGUAGAAUUGAUUUUGUAUAAAGUUUGUCAGAUAAAUUUAACAAAAUUAAACUACAUUAUAGGGUUUAUAACUAACUGUAAGGUACGUGACACGACAUUUGAUCCUGCUACAUCUGCUAUGGCGUUAAUAUCUCAGAUGCAUGAGUUAGGAUUGUAAUAGAGAUCGAUAUGAAGACAAUAAUUACGGUUUAGUUCAUCUUGGAGGUUAGGUUUCAUGCUUUAUGUUUGGCUUAACGUGCAGAUUUUUCAUCGGAGCAAUUGUCGCCGGAUCAAAUGUCAUGAAACCAACAUUUAAUGUACAUAUCCGCACAUCUCAACACACACCCUUACCCACACACCCUCACACACACACACAAACACACAUAUAUAUAUAUAUACAUAUACAUAUUUCAUGUACAAUUAUGUUUGUGAAACUGCAGGGUAUCUUUUGUAAGCAGCUCUACAAAACUACAGGACUAACUUGCAGGGGUAAAUAAAUGAAUAAAAUUAA
RNAcentral lists this long non-coding RNA (2006 nucleotides) under Lytechinus variegatus (green sea urchin). Its description in RNAcentral is "uncharacterized LOC121421075". Lineage: Eukaryota; Metazoa; Echinodermata; Echinoidea; Temnopleuroida; Toxopneustidae. The record is from RNAcentral.